This 405-nucleotide ribosomal RNA is filed under the name Dokdonia sp. Asnod3D05. RNAcentral describes it as "bacterial SSU rRNA". It matches the Rfam family "Bacterial small subunit ribosomal RNA", at positions 391 to 793 of the family's 1533-position model. The record is from RNAcentral. Lineage: Bacteria; Pseudomonadati; Bacteroidota; Flavobacteriia; Flavobacteriales; Flavobacteriaceae.
GCCNUGCCGCGUGUAGGAAGACUGCCCUAUGGGUUGUAAACUACUUUUAUAUGGGAAGAAUAAGGUCUACGUGUAGACUGAUGACGGUACCAUAAGAAUAAGCACCGGCUAACUCCGUGCCAGCAGCCGCGGUAAUACGGAGGGUGCAAGCGUUAUCCGGAAUCAUUGGGUUUAAAGGGUCCGUAGGCGGGCAUAUAAGUCAGUGGUGAAAGUCUGUGGCUCAACCAUAGAAUUGCCAUUGAUACUGUAUGUCUUGAAUUAUUGUGAAGUGGUUAGAAUAUGUAGUGUAGCGGUGAAAUGCUUAGAGAUUACAUAGAAUACCGAUUGCGAAGGCAGAUCACUAACAAUAUAUUGACGCUGAUGGACGAAAGCGUAGGUAGCGAACAGGAUUAGAUACCCUGGUAG